Mus pahari (shrew mouse) is the source of this 438-nucleotide long non-coding RNA. RefSeq lists it as uncharacterized. Lineage: Eukaryota; Metazoa; Chordata; Mammalia; Rodentia; Muridae. The record is from RefSeq and is a predicted model, not a curated record. The transcript has 3 exons.
ACAAGUGUGAAGAGGAACCGGGGGUUGCAAGGUUCUGUAGGAAGAGUGAUGUGGCCACGGCCACACAGAGAUGAAAGAGCCACAUUUUCCUAAAGUGGAAAAAGAUUGGUAAACUGCAUGCAGUCAGGAAGAACACAGGAGUUAUCUCCAAACCAAUGCCCUUCAAACAAAGGAAUUAUUGUGACUGUAUUUUGGAAGAAUCUAUGUUAAUUUCAGAAUGCAUUUUAUGGGAUUUAAAAGCUCUUUCUGGCUUUGGGGGUUCAUGACAAAAGGUAAAAGGGGUGGUGCAGAGGUCAGGGCCAUUGCUGCCUGAAGUGAAGACCUGAGUUCCAUUGCCUGAACCCACAAGGUGGAAAGGAAUUGUCCCUUGUUGUCCACACAGGUGCUAUGACAUGCGUCUCCCACAGCCCUGCACAAUAAUACAUGUAAAAUUUUUUU